ACGGGAGGCAGCAGUGGGGGAUAUUGCACAAUGGGGGAAACCCUGACGCAGCGACGCCGCGUGAGUGAAGAAGUAUUUCGGUAUGUAAAGCUCUAUCAGCAGGGAAGAAAAUGACGGUACCUGACUAAGAAGCUCCGGCUAAAUACGUGCCAGCAGCCGCGGUAAUACGUAUGGAGCAAGCGUUAUCCGGAUUUACUGGGUGUAAAGGGAGCGUAGACGGCGUGGCAAGUCUGAUGUGAAAGCUAUGGGCUCAACCCAUAAACUGCAUUGGAAACUGUCAUGCUAGAGUGUCGGAGAGGUAAGCGGAAUUCCUAGUGUAGCGGUGAAAUGCGUAGAUAUUAGGAGGAACACCAGUGGCGAAGGCGGCUUACUGGACGAUAACUGACGUUGAGGCUCGAAAGCGUGGGGAGCAAACAGGAUUAGAUACCCUGGUA
Molecule: ribosomal RNA, 434 nt
Filed under: uncultured Ruminococcus sp.
Lineage: Bacteria; Bacillati; Bacillota; Clostridia; Eubacteriales; Oscillospiraceae
Description: partial 16S ribosomal RNA
Rfam family: Bacterial small subunit ribosomal RNA
Source: RNAcentral